This 288-nucleotide unclassified non-coding RNA is filed under the name Drosophila willistoni. Its description in RNAcentral is "GK11664". Lineage: Eukaryota; Metazoa; Arthropoda; Insecta; Diptera; Drosophilidae. The record is from RNAcentral.
GCAAAAGAGCAAAAAACACACAUGCAAGAGCAAGAGGAAGAGUGUGAGUGAGUGUGUGUGUGUGUUUGGGGGGUCUCUCUGUGGGGCUGUGAACGGUACGCAAACGGUGGGGUAGCAGGGUUAGGGGCGGGAGCUGCUUUCAACUGCGCUGCCCUGACAAAUUGAAAAACCGCGUCGACAACGAAAACGACGACCAACUAAACUUAGUCAGCCUCAGCCAGCGAAAAGAGCACUCUCCGGGUCCGGUCUCCGCUUGAGAAAGAUACAACUCCAACGAUAACAGUUUGA